GACGAACGCUGGCGGCGUGCCUAAUACAUGCAAGUAGAACGCACAGUUUAUACCGUAGCUUGCUACACCAUAGACUGUGAGUUGCGAACGGGUGAGUAACGCGUAGGUAACCUGCCUGGUAGCGGGGGAUAACUAUUGGAAACGAUAGCUAAUACCGCAUAAUAUUGAUUAUUGCAUGAUAAUUGAUUGAAAGAUGCUAUUGCAUCACUACCAGAUGGACCUGCGUUGUAUUAGCUAGUAGGUGAGGUAACGGCUCACCUAGGCGACGAUACAUAGCCGACCUGAGAGGGUGAUCGGCCACACUGGGACUGAGACACGGCCCAGACUCCUACGGGAGGCAGCAGUAGGGAAUCUUCGGCAAUGAACGAAAGUCUGACCGAGCAACGCCGCGUGAGUGAAGAAGGUUUUCGGAUCGUAAAGCUCUGUUGUAAGAGAAGAACGGGUGUGAGAGUGGAAAGUUCACACUGUGACGGUAUCUGACCAGAAAGGGACGGCUAACUACGUG
RNAcentral lists this ribosomal RNA (505 nucleotides) under uncultured bacterium. RNAcentral's name for it is "partial 16S ribosomal RNA". It matches the Rfam family "Bacterial small subunit ribosomal RNA", at positions 28 to 507 of the family's 1533-position model. The record is from RNAcentral.